RNAcentral lists this small RNA (615 nucleotides) under Pan troglodytes (chimpanzee). RNAcentral's name for it is "retained intron". Lineage: Eukaryota; Metazoa; Chordata; Mammalia; Primates; Hominidae. The record is from RNAcentral.
AUGACUGCAAACAGAAAGGUGGAGCAGCUACAACAAGAAUACACGGAAAUGAAGGCUCUCUUGGACGCCUCAGAGACCACCUCGACAAGGAAGAUAAAGGAAGAGGAGAAGAGGGUCAACAGCAAGUUUGACACCAUUUAUCAGAUUCUCCUCAAGAAGAAGAGUGAGAUCCAGACCCUGAAGGAGGAGAUUGAACAGAGCCUGACCAAGAGGGAUGAGUUCGAGUUUCUGGAGAAAGCAUCAAAACUGCGAGGAAUCUCAACAAAGCCAGUCUACAUCCCUGAGGUGGAACUGAACCACAAGCUGAUAAAAGGCAUCGGCCAGAGCACCAUAGACCUCAAAAACGAGCUGAAGCAGUGCAUCGGGCGGCUCCAGGAGCCCACCCCCAGUUCAGGUGACCCUGGAGAGCAUGACCCAGCGUCCACACACAAAUCCACACGCCCUGUGAAGAAGGUCUCCAGUAAGUAGCCCCACCCCUGUCUCCAUGGCAACAGCAUGGCUGUGGCCUCCCCAGGCUCUGGCCAAGUCACUUCCGGCCCAUCCCGAGUCACUGUGGGGCCUGGACCUCAGUGGGAAAGAAGUUGGCGGCAAUCCCCAGCCGUGGGGGGCUGUAGG